This is a small nuclear RNA of Dipodomys ordii (Ord's kangaroo rat), 103 nucleotides long. The record is from Ensembl. NCBI's taxonomy places the organism in Eukaryota, Metazoa, Chordata, Mammalia, Rodentia, Heteromyidae.
GCUACCUUUGACAGAGCACAUACUAAAACUGAAAUACAGUAAUUGAUUAGCAAGGCCUUGGCUCAAGAAUGACAAACAUAUUCAUGAAAUGUUCCAUAUUUUU